RNAcentral lists this transfer RNA (70 nucleotides) under Phrynosoma platyrhinos (Desert horned lizard). RNAcentral describes it as "tRNA-OTHER". It matches the Rfam family "tRNA". From Rfam's summary of the family: Transfer RNA (tRNA) molecules are approximately 80 nucleotides in length. Their secondary structure includes four short double-helical elements and three loops (D, anti-codon, and T loops). The record is from RNAcentral. Lineage: Eukaryota; Metazoa; Chordata; Lepidosauria; Squamata; Phrynosomatidae.
GCCAGUGUGGUGUAAUGGUUUGAGUGCUGGAUUAUGACUCCAGAGACAAGGGUUUGAAUCCCUGCUGGCC